This 207-nucleotide long non-coding RNA is filed under the name Lotus japonicus. RNAcentral describes it as "long non-coding RNA (LJAP_LNC001190)". The record is from RNAcentral. Lineage: Eukaryota; Viridiplantae; Streptophyta; Magnoliopsida; Fabales; Fabaceae.
GCCACGAAGGCCACACAGUAUAACCCAACAACGCAUAUGCACAAAUAUCAACACAGCAUAUAGCUACUUAGCAUAUACUUAGUAUGUGAUUCAUCCCAACAUCAACCACGACAACAAUCAAACAUCCACAAGAAAGCAGUAAUGACAGAAACCAGUAAACGGCCAAAGCCUCUCAGAAAACGGAGACACACGUCUCAAUAAGUUUAC